GACGAACGCUGGCGGCGUGCUUAACACAUGCAAGUCGAACGGAAAGGCCCUGCUUUUGUGGGGUGCUCGAGUGGCGAACGGGUGAGUAACACGUGAGUAACCUGCCCUUGACUUUGGGAUAACUUCAGGAAACUGGGGCUAAUACCGGAUAGGAGCUCCUGCUGCAUGGUGGGGGUUGGAAAGUUUCGGCGGUUGGGGAUGGACUCGCGGCUUAUCAGCUUGUUGGUGGGGUAGGGGCUUACCAAGGCUUUGACGGGUAGCCGGCCUGAGAGGGUGACCGGCCACAUUGGGACUGAGAUACGGCCCAGACUCCUACGGGAGGCAGCAGUGGGGAAUAUUGCACAAUGGGCCGAAGCCUGAUGCAGCAACGCCGCGUGCGGGAUGACGGCCUUCGGGUUGUAAACCGCUUUCGCCUGUGACGAAGCGUGAGUGACGGUAAUGGGUAAAGAAGCACCGGCUAACUACGUG
RNAcentral lists this ribosomal RNA (468 nucleotides) under uncultured bacterium. Its description in RNAcentral is "partial 16S ribosomal RNA". It matches the Rfam family "Bacterial small subunit ribosomal RNA", at positions 28 to 507 of the family's 1533-position model. The record is from RNAcentral.